GACGAACGCUGGCGGCGUGCCUAAUACAUGCAAGUUGAACGCUAAAGCUUUAACUGGUGCUUGCACCGACUUAAGUUUUUAGAGUAGCGGACGGGUGAGUAACACGUGGGUAACCUGCCCAUCAGAGGGGGAUAACACUUGGAAACAGGUGCUAAUACCGCAUAACAAUAUCAAUCGCAUGAUAGAUAUUUGAAAGGCGCUUAUGGUGUCACUGAUAGAUGGACCCGCGGUGCAUUAGCUAGUCGGUGGGGUAACGGCCUACCGAGGCGAUGAUGCAUAGCCGACCUGAGAGGGUGAUCGGCCACAUUGGGACUGAGACACGGCCCAAACUCCUACGGGAGGCAGCAGUAGGGAAUCUUCGGCAAUGGACGCAAGUCUGACCGAGCAACGCCGCGUGAGUGAAGAAGGUUUUCGGAUCGUAAAGCUCUGUUGUUAGAGAAGAACAAGUAAGAUAGUAACUGAUCUUGCCUUGACGGUAUCUAACCAGAAAGCCACGGCUAACUACGUGCCAGCAGCCGCC
RNAcentral lists this ribosomal RNA (520 nucleotides) under uncultured bacterium. Its description in RNAcentral is "bacterial SSU rRNA". It matches the Rfam family "Bacterial small subunit ribosomal RNA", at positions 28 to 519 of the family's 1533-position model. The record is from RNAcentral.